This 250-nucleotide ribosomal RNA is filed under the name uncultured bacterium. RNAcentral's name for it is "partial 16S ribosomal RNA". It matches the Rfam family "Bacterial small subunit ribosomal RNA", at positions 524 to 773 of the family's 1533-position model. The record is from RNAcentral.
CACGUAGGAGGCAAACGUUAUCCGGAUUUACUGGGCGUAAAGCGCAUGUAGGUGGUUCGGUAAGUAGGGCGUGAAAGCUCCUGGCUCAACUGGGAGAGGUCGUUCUAAACUACCGAGCUAGAGGAUGGUAGAGGGAGGUGGAAUUCCGGGUGUAGCGGUGGAAUGCGCAGAUAUCCGGAGGAACACCAGUGGCGAAAGCGGCCUCCUGGACCACUCCUGACACUCAGAUGCGAAAGCUAGGGUAGCAAAC